GCAAGCUCGCGUGAAGGUGAUGACCGGAGCAGAAGAUACUGGGUGCUCAGCCCAAGAAAAAACCAUAAGGCAACCACUCGGGCAACAUAUUAGCUAACCCUGUGGCGCCUGCCUUGGUCCAUUAACGAUCAUCCUCCUGGAUUGCUUGAACACAGCGUGGAACAGAUGGUCGCUAUCCAUUGAAGCAGACCCAGCCCUGCAUCGAAAAUGCAGCCAUUACGGUGUUUCGAGAGCCUAGUUUGGACUCGUGUACACAUGUUUACCUGACUUUGAUCCCAUGUAGAAAACUAUAAACUCAUCCUAUUCAUCUUUUUUAGAAGAACUCAUCCUAAUCAUCUUGGAGAACUAGCGGCAAAAAAACCCAGAGAAUUCAAGUUUUUUUAAGCAAAUCAAAGUUUAACUGUUUAAGUAGGGUUACCAAUUAUAUGGCUGUGAUUUGGAUGGUGCACUGGAUUAUAAUACAUCCAAAUUAUAAUGGGCUUUGAGUUUGCAAUGGUUCAUAGAGAUCCAAAAGUAUUACAUGAGAUAUCCCAUGGUGCAUGCUCUUUACGGAUGAUGUGGUGCUAGUGAUAGUCGGACAGGGGUUAAUAGAAAGUUAGAGUUAUGGAGAGGAAUCGAAAGGUUUCAGGCCUAGUAGAACUACAACCGAGCACAUGAGGUGUGGUUUCAGUAAUACUAGACACGAGGAGGAGGAGCUUAACCUUGAUGGGCAUGUGGUACGCUGUAACAUGCCAAAUUUUCAGAUUUGCAAUGUUAAAAGGAUUGAUUUAAUAUUGCUUGUGUUGUUUGCUCCUUGCUCAAUUUGAGUACGAUUUGAAACUUUUGGAGUUUAUUCGAUAUUGAGAUGAGAGGGAAUGAAAGAACUUUCCCAAUUUUUCAUAUUUGGAUUUUAUAUUGGAUAUUUCUCACGAGUUCAAAAAUAUUUUAUGGAACAUUACUAGAGCCAAAAAAAGUUUUUAUAAAAAAUGUUAUGUUUUUAUUUUGUAUUUGAUCUGAAAAAACCAUUCUCUACAAUUGUAGUGAUAUUUUUAUGUGUGUACUUGUACUUUGUUUUUGGAAGUUUGCUGAUAUUUUAUUUUAGAAAAACCAUUUUCUGUGUAAAAGUAAUUUUAUCUAGGAAAUACUGUUCAUUUGGGCUAUACAUCGCACUAGAACAGCAGCACCACAUCGACAACAGGCUGGCCCAUUUUGGCGCAGCAAGUAGCCCAGCACUGCAGCCCUCCCUUCCUUCUAUUUUUCUCUCUCCUCUACCGCUGACUACCUGGACCCACCAUGUCAUCCCCUUUUUGUUCGUGUUCUGCCUGGAGACCGCUCCCGAUCCGAACUCGAUCGAUUCCCCCUCGACCACGGGAUCCUCCUAUAAGUAUUUCACCUCCUCCUUCGAUUUUUGCCAAAAAUCGCAGCUCCCGUGCCCGUCUCGUCCUGAUUCUAAUCUCGCCGGAGUUCAGCUGACAGAAGCUCCUUCGCCGCUGAUUUCUUCACCACCGAGGGUCCUCGUCAUCUCCUUAGUCCUCUGUCUCGAUCGCCAUGACCUCCCUUAUCUUACUAUCUCUUCUUUUGCGCAUAGACGCCAUGGAACGAAUAAAUCAAGCUCGACCCGUUGGACUAAGUCUCUAGAUAUAGAUACAACAUAAGUUCAACACAUAUCACACGUUAAUCCUCGCUGCAUCUAACGGUUGAGAGCACUCUCAAGGGAAGUGAAGCAAGAACAAAACCCUAGGCAUGCUGGUGUGGCUUCUAUUUGUGAGCGUGAAAGAGAACACAUAAGAGAAAACAUAACCUAUGAGAGAGUGGAAGAAGAAGUGGAGGUUAUGUCCAGAUUUGUUGCAUCUGGCUAGAUAGUGUUCAACCUGAUGAUUGGAGGCUCAAACAUGCUUGGAUCGACCCUAAAUUUGGUGAUCUCGUUCCUUACUUUGAGUUCUUCGAUUUGGUUAGCUGGUUUAAGGACUCGGUCAGUGGAGCAUCAGAUUUCAGAGUGAUUUUGUUAGCUCUCACUGCUGCAGUUUCAGGACAGAGUAGUUUUGAGAGACGAACAGUUUGGGUAUGCAAACAGUAUUUGAUUGAACUGAAAUUUUGAGGGGAUCCCGGGAACUCGUGUGUCUACUUGUCUGCCAAAUUUGGCGUUGUUUGGUUCAGUAGUUUAAAAGAAGUUUGCAGAAUACUGAAAGAGACAGAAGCCGUGUGUACUGUGCUUUGUUGAAAUCUUGCCUUUUGUGGUUGUUGUUGCUCUUGCCGGUUGGCAAUGUGGAGAGUGUGUUGUAAAUCUCUCUACAGGUUCUAGAGAAGACUUGUACUUAUAAUUCUCAUAGUGAAGUUGUGUGGACCGUCCGCAGCCGUGGUUUUUACUCCUAAAGUUGAGGAGUUUUUCCACGUUAAAUCAUGUGGCACAUGUGCAUUUUGUUUAUGUUAAUUCUCUGCUUACUUGUUGGUUGAAGCUGUCCCCAAAGUUCAUCAUAAUUGGAGGGGGUUGUGUAGUGUGCAUAUUUGUCAUGUCGAUGAAUUUGUGCAGCGCAUUGUUGUUGUCCAGCCCCAAAAAGUGGUGUCAGUCUUGGUUUGCUUGUGCAAAUUGCUGAGUUUCAUGUGAUGAAUAUGAGUAGGAUGAUAUCUUUGAAUGGUACAAAUUACCAAGCAUGGAAGGGAAAGAUGGAGGACUUGUUAUAUGUGAAAGAAUAUUAGAAGCCAGUGUUCUCCACUCAGAUGCCGAAAGGCAUUGAGAAAGGUACUUCAUCGCCAAGCUUGUGGGUUUAUUUGGCAAUGGGUCGAUGACAAUGUUUUGAAUGAUAUCAUUAAUGAGAUACAUGCACACACCUUAUGACAGAAAAUUGGAAGAGUUGUUUGCCUAAAAUGAAGGUACAAACAAAUGUUCUUGAUCAAACAAUUGAUGUGUUUAAGGUACAAAGAGGGCAUUCUAAUUGCAGAUCAUGUGAAUACAUUCCAAGGCAUUAUAAAUCAACUUUCUUCAAAGGGAAUAACAUUUGAAGAUGAAGUGAGAGCCUUGCUGCUACUAGACUCAUUACUGGACAACUGUGAGACCUUUAAGGUCAUGGUUUCAAUUCAGCACCUAAUGGAGUUGUCACUUGAAAUCUUGUGAAAACGAGGGUACUAAAUGAAGAAUCCAGAAAGGUGGGCGAAGCUAGUUCUUCCUCACAUUCAGAGGCGUUGGUCACUCAGUCCAUGGAAAGAAGCAAGAGCAGAGGUCCAGGUAAAGGGCGGAAAGAUGUAGGAGCAAAUCAAGAGGCAAGUAUGCGGAUUAUGAGUGAUAUUACUGCCAUCAGAAUGGCCACAUUAAGUGACAAUAUGACAAGUGGAAGAAAGACAAAAAGAAAAAAAAAGAUCAGAAGAAGGCUGACAGUGAUAGUGACAUAGAGGGCAGCCGAGUUACUGCAGUAGAAGAGGACAUCAUGCUUGUUAUGCAUGAAGAAAACGAGGGCAGAUUUGGUUCCACUGUUGAGGAGAGGAUCACUAUUGUUUCUGAUGAAACCGUCAACCUUGUGGAUGGUGAUGAGAUGAUUUAGAUACCGGAUAGCGGUGCUACCAUUCAUGUUACAUCUCAUAGAGAGCUCUUCACUAACCAUAUAUCUGGUGAUUUUGGUGUUGUGAAGAUGGGAACAAUCAUAGGGCAGCCAUCAUUGGAAAAGGAGAUGUGCAUUUGGAAACCGCAAAUGAUACAAGGUUAGUCCUCAUGUGUGUGAGGCAUGUUGAGGCACUUCAUCUCAACAUUAUCUCAGUUGGUUUGCUUGAUGGAGAUGAUUAUUUUGGCAGUUUUGGAAAAGGGCAAUAUAAGCUCACCAAAGACAACAUGAUUGUUGCAAGAGAUAAAAUAGUCUCAGUUUUGUAUCAUGUGAUAGUAAGCUCUUUACAGCUUCUGUCAAUUUAAUAGAGAAGGAUGAUCAUUGUGCUCUAUGGCACAAGGGACUUGGGCACAUGAGUUAGAAGGGGAUGACAGUGCUAGUGAAGAAAAAAAAGUUGAAGGGUGUGAAAGAAGUUCACAUCAAGAAAUGUUCAGAUUGUCUAGCAGGGAAGCAACACAGAGUUGACUUCAAGACUCUACCUCCUCACAAGAAGCCUGAGAAGAUGGACUUGAUACCUUUUGAUAUUUGCAAAAUGUUGGUCAGAUCUCUUGGUGGUGCUAAGUACUUUGUGAUUUUUAUUGAUGACUUUUUCAGGAAAGUUUGGGCCUUCGUUUUGAGGACCAAAGAUCAAGUACUAGAUGUAUUCAAGCAAUUUCAAGCCUCAGUUGAGAGAGAAACUGAGAAGAAGAUCAAGUGCAUUCGCACUGAUAAUGGAGGAGAGUAUAUUGGGUCAUUUGAUGCAUAUUGUAAGCAGCAAGGUAUUAAGCAUCAAUUCACUCCCUCGAAGACACCACAGCUGAAUGGUCUUGGUGAGAGGAUGAACAAGACAAUUGUGGAGAGAGUUAGAUGCUUGCUAUCAAGUGCAAAGCUAUGUAAACAUUUUUGGGUUGAGGCUUUGAUGAAUGCAAUUUAUCCUAUUAAUCUCUCACCAAGUUAUCAUUUGCAGGGUGUCGGGGUGAUUUCUCUACUUCGAUCUAUGGGACCAGCAAGGCCCCUUUGCUACGAAUAUGCGGGGACUAUGGGUGCACGAAGAGCAUCAUCGACGGCUGCAUGCACGGUGGUUUAGACAGGUUCGGGCCGCUCAGAAGUGUAAAACCCUACGUCAUGUGCUCUGGUGGAUUAUGUGGGUGUUCACAGUACAGGUGCGCUCGCCGGCAAGGAUGAUCAAGGGCAGGAGCUACGCAUAUAGAAUGAACAGAGAGUCGACAUUUCUAAAGGUAGCCCUGGACCUCCUUUUAUAGUCCAAGGGGUUACCACAGUGGCUAAAAAAAUCUUUUGGUUGGAGAAUAAUCCACACAAUAGCUGCCAAAACUACUGACAAAAGCUAUAGUAGGAAAUACUAUUAGAUGGACGCAACCAGGCACAUUAAAUGCGUCAUGAGGUGGCGCACUGGCGACGUUCCCCGACAAGGAUUGUCUCUCCUUCUGUGUCGUUCGCCCAUCCACCUUUUAUUUAUUUGACACGCCGUAGGACGGGUGUCAUUAAAGCUACUACAUGUCUCUGACUGUUGCUAGAGGCCUCUGACUAGGUCCACCUAACUGCCCGUCUGCUCGACACCUCACUCAUGUUGACAAUCAGCGUGGUGAGGUGGAGCGGGCGGAGAUGCGGAGGGGUCCUGCCGGGCGCGAUGGCUGCCAGGUCUGCCGGGGCCUUGUUUAUGGUCUUCGCUUGUUGUUGCUUGAAGGUUAAUGUUGCCCGGUAGGGUCUUGCCGGCCUCGAGGCCGCGACUACCUGUGUACAAGUCUGGGUACUAAAGCCCCCAUAUUUUAAUACACCGACAGUAGCCCCCGGGCCUGGGCCACACUUGUGUGUCUGAUGUUUGUUGGUCUAGGCCCAAAAAACAGUACACACGCACACGCGAUCGCAAUUGCCUGCGGUUAUGAUGAUUUUUAGUGCUUUCCCACGACGCGUAUUGACUGCGGGUCAUGGGAGUGGUUGAGCGAGGCGGUUGUUUCGAGGAGUCCUCAUCGUUCACGGAGGUCCAUAAGUUGAAACCCGUCCAGAAGGAUGCUUGGAGUGCCCUUGCUCCAGACGACGCUAAGCUGGAGAUCGCCAUCACCCGAAUGCUCCGGCUGAGGGCUGCUGGGCUCACCAUAGAGAUGGCGGGCUCUGAUUUCCUCGUCAGGCGCAUUGCCCCUCUCCAGGAUAGGGCAUUACGCAUGGGAGUUUGUUGGUCAUGUCGAUGUCAUGCGAGUAAGCCCCGGGCGACGGCGACCUGACCUUCCUGUAGCUGGUCUCCCUCCGCCACCAGCUCUUCCACCCAGACGUCAAGUUCAUACUCCCGCCGUCCAUCAUCCUGCUCUGCAACAACUCCCUCAAAGAUGCGAUAGUAGCGAUGAUGCCGGCCUGCAACGUGCACGGGGUGGAUCCCAUGUGGCGGGCCCCGACAAAGGAGGUGGUGCAGGCGUGGUUCGACGACCUGACGGAGGCGUGCGUCAGGGAUGAAGGGUCGAUGAUACUCGCCACCAUCGAAGGGACUGAGAUCCAGUGACUUGUCUUCAGCAAGUCACGUUGUAACUGGCUCCCUCUUAUCAGCCCUCCAAACAACAUCUGACGGACAGGAGUGACCCAAAGCAAAAAAAGGCCUCCACACUACACCUGGGCAUCCAUCCAACACAGCUAAACAAAGAAAAUGCUUCAGCCUUGGCCGUUCAGUCACUAGAUAGUACAAUCAACAGUUUUCAGUCAGCUAACAAUACAAAUGUAAUAGUACUAACAGCUUAUAUAUGUACUGAAUAAAAGAAUAUGGUAUGGUAGAGAUAAGAGAACAGUUUUUUUUGCAGAGAUAAGCUACAGUUCCUUUUUUGCAGAGAAUGAAUCAAAAAGUUAGUAGAGAUAAGCUACAUUUUUUGUAGAAAUAAACUACAGUUUUUUGCAGAGAAUGAAUCUGAUGAUGUAGAAAUAAACUUGCAUGCCCAGAGUUACUUCAGCAUGUAUGAUUUAGCUUCAUUUUUUGCACUCUCGAAGAGGAGGAGGGGGAGGAGGAGGUGGAAGACAUUGUGGGCUUGGGUGCUAGUGUCGCGGCCCGCUCGUUCUCUGUCUCCCGUGUCCUUGGCAUCACAUCGUUGGUCGUCGUAUUUUGGCUUUUUUUCUACCUCAGGAAGUGCAACGCAGCCUCAAGACGGAGAAGCUCACAGUUAUAGUGGACGAAGAUGCACAUCACGCUCCCAGCGCCGUUGAAUCUCGCCGUCCACAGUCAUCGGUGUUUGUCCAGCGACGUCUAGCACCCUUGUUCAAACGAAAAAUAAAUGCAAAUGAGAAUCAGCGACGUCUAGCACCCAGCAGGUCUUGUCGGCUACACCUUGUGAUGAUGCUGAUAUGUUCUAGCAUGCAAGUUUAUUUCUACAUCAUCCAAUUCAUUCUCUGUAAAAAACUGUAGUUUAUUUCUACAAAAACUGUAGCUUAUCUCUACUAACUUUUUGAUUCAUUCUCUGCAAAAAAGGAACUGUAGCUUAUCUCUGCAAAAAAAACUGUUCUCUUAUCUCUACCAUAUUCUUUUAUUCAGUACAUAUAUAAGCUGUUAGUACUAUUACAUUUGUAUUGUUAGCUGACUGAAAAUUGUUGAUUGUACUAUCUAGUGACUGAACGGCCAAGGCUGAAGCAUUUUCUUUGUUUAGCUGUGUUGGAUGGAUGCCCAGGUGUAGUGUGGAGGCCUUUUUUUGCUUUGGGUCAUUCCUGUCCGUUAGAUGUUGUUUGGAGGGCUGAUGAGAGGGAGCCAGUUACAACGUGACUUGCGGAACACAAGUCACUGGAUCUCAGUCCCCAUCGAAGCGGAAGCGGGCCUUAACAUGGGCAGAAGCAGAGUGGAGGAGGGCCACCAUGAGGAGGGGCGUGACGAGGAGACGCUAGCAUAGCGCCGGCAGGAGGAGCUCGCCGCGCGGAGGUUGUGGCUGAGCCGGAGCUUGCGGAGCCCCCGAUUCGCGACGUCCCCAAGAGGACGCAUGUGCUCCGUAGGGCCAAUACAAGGGAGCCGGUCCGUCGCGCUCAUCCCCCGGAGGUUGAGGGCGAAGGGAAGGAGGAGGACCCCGCAGCUGAUGUUUCCCGGCCGCGGCGAAUGAGGUGGACAGCCGCCACAUGCGUGGAAAGCGCUUAUGGCGAGCCAGUAGGGCGCUCCAGGGCGCCUACUCCGCCACUAGCCCCCGCUCCCCACCAGAAGGGGAUGUGGAUCUUGUCUUCCUUUGGCGCUCCAGGGCGCCUACUCCGCCACCAGCCCCCGCUCCCCACCAGAAGGGGAUGUGGAUCUUGUCUUCCUUCGGCUGGGGGGAAGAGGAUGACGAGUGAGUGCUUGCCCUUUCGAUCCUUGAUUCAUCUUUGCUUGUUUUUUCGUUGAAUCAUGUUGUUGUUGUUGUUGUUGUUCCUGCAGGGACGAGGAGCCCUUGGUUUAGUGGCCGGACAAGAGGGCGAAACCUGCAUCCACCGCGAGGAAGGCGACAAGCUCAGUGCCAGGACGGGAGGUCUUCGCAUCUGGACGGAUGUGCGCAGGGCGGUGGCGCCGUUGGGCGCCGUGGUGGCGUUGACGGAUGUUUGGACUGGCAUGGAAGAUGCGGAUCUCUUUCUUGAAGAUGGGUCAGUGGUUCGAUGAUGAUGACGGCUUGUAAAACGUAUGCGUGAGGUGUGCGUUUUAGGUGUGCUGCAUCGGCUGUUGCUUCCAAUACGUUAUGCGGAUGGAUUAGCGACAACACCGGUCUUAGAUAUGUGGAGUGAGAGCACUCCACAUUAUCGAGUUUGUAGGUGUGAGUGGUGGCUUUGGGUGAAUUGAUGUAUACUCCUGUUAGUCCUUUGUGGAAUAAUUAAUAAAGAUGGCUGCAUGCAUCGAUUGAUGGAGAGGCCGGAGGUUUAACCUCCUUUUCCAAAAAAAGAAAAAAAGGACGGGAGGUCAUAGAUCUCAGUCCAUCGACGAGCCCCUGGCGCGAGGCUACGCCUCCGCAUCCGUCGAUGAAUGUAGGCGCGCACGCCAACGACGCCGCCUCCAUCCCACCGCAGGUGGAGUCCGAGCGCCCGGAGGCAGCUCACGUACGCUCGACCCCGGAGGGGAGCUCUCCGGCAAGGGCUUCUACCGAUGAGCCUGUCCGCACUUAGGGCAUGCUGGCAGACGAUGUCGCCGGUGGCCAAGUGAACGCAACAAAUCUUGCUGGGGGAGAGGAUGCCCCUCCUCAAAAAGAACCCACGAAUCUGCCUCCGCCUGAGGGCACGGGCGCUGGCCCCAGUGUGGAGGAGGUUGCCAAGGAGGCCACCGACGAGGCGAGUCGGAUUGCUGCUGAAGAGGAGGCAGAUCGCAGCGACACCAAGGCAGUCGGCAAGGAACCUGCUGCGAUGCCGUGUGUGGAAGUGUUGACGGACUCCGAGAGCAAUUCCGCUUCAGGACCGCUUGGGGCGGGUGCGUUCAUCAUGACCGGGGCUGCCAGCGGAACAGCCGCUGGGCCGUCAACGUCAAAAGCGCCACCACGAAGCCGAUACAUUAGGGUGGGAGACUUGUAGUCUGUCACCUUCCCUGGAAGUUCUCAAGGCCAUCGACGACACUAUUGCCACCGCCGGAGGGGAGGUGAGAGUCAACCCUCGUGGUGGAAAUGACGAGGCCAAGGAGCACGCGCCAUCCUGUCUUCCCUGGGCGAGGGCUUACGACAGCUGUAGGCGCACUAUGCCAACUUCUCGUAGAAGUUGGACCGUGGAGAAGCCCUCCUCGCCACGGCGGAAGAAAGUUUCCAAGAGCGCCUCGCCGACUCGCAAGACUGGUUCGUCGAGAAGCGCAAGGAGUUCACCGAGGACCGAGAGUACCUCGCUAAGGAUCGAGUCGCCUUCAUAAAGUGGAAGGCCGAGGGCCCGAGGCGGAGAAGAUCCUAAGGCCUUGUUCGGUUGCUUUAAAAUUGGAGAGGUUUGGAGCGGAUUGAAAGGGAUUAAAUCCCUUACAAGUCAAAUUUCAUGUCAAUUCCCUUCAAUCCCUUCCAAUCCCGUUCUUGAUGGGAUUGAUUGACAUGAAAUUUAACUUGUAGAGGAUUUAAUUCCUUUCAAUCCGCUUGAAACCCCUCCAAUUUUAAAGCAACCGAACAAGGAGGACGAGGACUCCUUUGCCAAGUCUGAGGCUGAGUAGAUCACGCGCAAGGUCCAACUUGAAGCCCAUGAAGAGGAACUUGCCGCCCGGGAGGUGGCCCUGAAGGUUGGACCUGAGAGCCGGAUCCGGGAGCUAGAACUGCAGCACGAGGGCGCCCUCGAGGAACAAGCAGUGGAGCACACCGGCAAACUCAAGGAGGCCCGCCGAAGCUGCUCAAUCUGCCAAGGUCGAACUGGAAGGCAAGGUACAUCCGCUGGAACUGGACCUCGCUGCCUCCAAACAGGAGAUCUUGAAGCUUAAGGAUGAUACCCAGAAGGGCACUCCGGCCUUGGCAGACCUGCAAGCGGGACUCACCGACAAGGCCAAGGAGCUGGAGGUUGCCGCGACCACCAAUGCUGGCCUGAGCGCGAGGAGCACCCAUGAAGGCAUCCUGGAGGCCACCCAGAGUAGGGAGCGCAGUUUGCUUGAAGAACUCCAGAAGGAGAAGGAACUGCUUGAUUAUGCCACGGACGUCUCCAACAAACUCCAGGAAAGCGUUGGGUUGUGGACGGAGCAGCUAGUGGACAUCGUCGGCAUGCUUUCCACCCAACUCGUAAAGAUGGGCUUGGAGGAGUGCACCUUCUCCAGCGAUGCUCGGGAGACGGCGAGCGCACGUCUAUCCAUCUUCUUUCGACAGUUCGUCGACGUCUUGGCGGAGUAUGAAGUGGGGAGGGUUGACGAAUUCCUCCAUGGCUGCUGUGAGCUGUGUCGCGAGGCCCUCCACAAGGUCCCGGUGAAGGUCUCCUAUCACAACCCCGACGUUGAUCUGAGCAAAGCCUUCUCCAGAUUUCCGAAGGGUUUCGACACCAGUGAACACGACGACCUUGUUGUCCUGAUCUUUGAUAAUGUUGGCUCUGUAACCCUAAACAAUUAACCUCCUGUUUCUGCAAUGCGUGUACCCAAAACAUUUAUCGCGGGUUAAUGGCACAACUUUGUAUGCACUACAUUUCGUCUGCUUAGGACAAAUGUAUAUUUCCUUUA
This is a long non-coding RNA of Hordeum vulgare subsp. vulgare (domesticated barley), 10641 nucleotides long. RefSeq lists it as uncharacterized. The transcript has 2 exons. NCBI's taxonomy places the organism in Eukaryota, Viridiplantae, Streptophyta, Magnoliopsida, Poales, Poaceae. The record is from RefSeq and is a predicted model, not a curated record.